GGCAGCAUGGCCUAGUGUAAAGAGCACUAGACUGGGAGUCAGGAGGCCUGGGUUCUAGUCCCAGCUCUGUUG
This 72-nucleotide transfer RNA is filed under the name Ornithorhynchus anatinus (platypus). It matches the Rfam family "tRNA". From Rfam's summary of the family: Transfer RNA (tRNA) molecules are approximately 80 nucleotides in length. Lineage: Eukaryota; Metazoa; Chordata; Mammalia; Monotremata; Ornithorhynchidae. The record is from Rfam by way of RNAcentral.